This is a non-coding RNA of Jatropha curcas, 811 nucleotides long. Lineage: Eukaryota; Viridiplantae; Streptophyta; Magnoliopsida; Malpighiales; Euphorbiaceae. The record is from RefSeq and is a predicted model, not a curated record.
CACCAUAGCAAUCUGUGGUACUAUCCUUCGACUUCAUGUCAUCGUUGGAUCUGUACCACGCGCUAAUGAAGUACGUGGAAUUCUUCGGGUCAUCAUACACAAGUUGCAAAGUAAUCAUAAUGAGCGGCAGCUCAAUGCUAUAUAUGCCUUGUGGAGUAUGAGGAAGGGGACAGCAUGCGGGUACUGCCUUGCCAUCAUGAAUUUCAUACAUCAUGUAUAGACAAGUGGCUUAAGGAGAUUCACAGGGUAUGUCCACUUUGCCGCGGGGAUGUUUGCAGAUCUGGUUCAUUGGAUGCAGAGAACUGAAGGAAGGUUAUUUUGCAAAUCCGAUUGCCCACAGAACUCCAGCGUGACAAAAUGAAUUCUAAAACUAGUUUGUGACAAAAAGCUUAAGUCCUUUUCCAUCCGGACAUUGAUUAUCGGCUUUGGUUCCAACAUUUGGAACUAUGGCUUUGGAGUUUGUGGUAUCUUAGAGAACAGGGUGGGGGGUGGUGCCGUGGUGGCAGCAUAGAAUUUGUUGUCUCAUGAUUUUUACCCCUUCACUGGAUGGACGAUGUUUAAAUAGUGUCUGAAGCAAAAAGGUCCUCUCAUCUUAACCUUGUAGCUUUCUUAAAUUGAAACAAAAUUGAAAAAAGAAAAAGAUACUAAUUGCAUUUAACAGGUGGUAUAGCGGAACGAAUGCAAGUUCUAGACCAGGAACUAGAAAAAAGCAUGAACCCGAUAUUUGACUCGCGUUGUCUGUUGGUGUGGUAGGUAGUAGGUGCUGAUGAGCUGUUUGCUUGAUUUUAAACUCAUGCCUUUGAUCAACAAA